Molecule: non-coding RNA, 24 nt
Filed under: Rattus norvegicus (Norway rat)
Lineage: Eukaryota; Metazoa; Chordata; Mammalia; Rodentia; Muridae
Source: RNAcentral
UACAGUUGCUUGAUGCCCAGUGUC